This 584-nucleotide ribosomal RNA is filed under the name uncultured bacterium. RNAcentral's name for it is "partial 16S ribosomal RNA". It matches the Rfam family "Bacterial small subunit ribosomal RNA", at positions 355 to 1375 of the family's 1533-position model. The record is from RNAcentral.
UGGGGAAUUUUGGACAAUGGGCGAAAGCCUGAUCCAGCAAUGCCGCGUGUGUGAAGAAGGCCUUCGGGUUGUAAAGCACUUUUGUCCGGAAAGAAAUCCUUGGCUCUAAUACAGUCGGGGGAUGACGGUACCGGAAGAAUAAGCACCGGCUAACUACGUGCCAGCAGCCGCGGUAAUACGUAGGGUGCAAGCGUUAAUCGGAAUUACUGGGCGUAAAGCGUGCGCAGGCGGUUUGCUAAGACCGAUGUGAAAUCCCCGGGCUCAACCUGGGAACUGCAUUGGUGACUGGCAGGCUAGAGUAUGGCAGAGGGGGUAGAAUUCCACGUGUAGCAGUGAAAUGCGUAGAGAUGUGGAGGAAUACCGAUGGCGAAGGCAGCCCCCUGGGCCAAUACUGACGCUCAUGCACGAAAGCGUGGGGAGCAAACAGGAUUAGAUACCCUGGUAGUCCACGCCCUAAAACGAUGUCAACUAGUUGUUGGGGAUUCAUUCCUUAGUAACGUAGCUAACGCGUGAAGUUGACCGCCUGGGGAGUACGGUCGCAAGAUUAAAACUCAAAGGAAUUGACGGGGUCAUAGCUGUUUCCU